ACACAAUAUAGAUGACAGAGACAUAUAGAAAGGUCUAGAUAUUGCUUUUGGUAAAAAUGUCCAACAAUAACUUUCUGAAGAAACAAAAAAUAAUUCACAACAGCCAGGACCAAAUUUCCAUUCAUUCUUCACACUUUUCUGCGCGGUGUUGAAAGGAGCAAAAAAUCAGCCCAACCCAGUUAGAACAUUCUGUCAUGAAGUCACAGAGACACAUUCCAAGAGGCAGGAAAAGGUGAUUGCAACGUGCUUUCUCCUCCCCAAAGGCGUAUGUGCCACAAACAUGUCGAUGUUCAAAGAUCGAAACAAGAGCCUGAACAACCUGCUUCCUAAAGUCUAACACCCCUGUCAACAAACAACACACAGAUCCAAGUUAUUGCGAGAGGAACGUGUCUAUUUAUUCACAGGAAAAAUGCCUGCAUCCGUAAGCGAGACCAUCCAUCGCAGCCACUUUACAGAAAACGGGUAAGGGUGGGAAUUGUGCAGAAACUCGACGUUGCACCUGGCCGGUUUCCAGACGCCGCUCCCCGACCGGCUGAGGUCGUUCCCGUGUUGGCCAGGCGGUGGCGCUCGAGGCAAGUGGUGCCGCUCCCGGGUCCCGCGCGCAGCAUCUCCAAGCAGGUGGCUCAGAGAGGGGACUUGACACAGGUUCCGGAACAUCGCGCUGGGGACGAAGCAUCUGGAAGCCGCCAGGUGAGUCUGCGCCGCGGAGGAGACUGGGCCCGGCACACAGAAGCGGCCGGCAGGCGUGGGGCGCCGCCGGGAGCCGCCCGGCCUCGGGAUGCGCGGGCGCCCGGGAUAGAGACCCGCGGCAGGUGCAGCGCGGGCUGGGCGGGAGGCGAGGCAGGUGCCCCGGGGGGGCCCGGGGGGGGCGGGCCAGGGUCCGGCCCAGCGUGCAGGCUGAGUCCCGAAAACCCGAACCCCAGCCUCAUUUGGAUUCAACCUUUCAGCCUGAACCCCGCAGGUCCUUUCAGAUUUAAAAAUUGAUUUUUUAAAGAUUGAAAAACAGCCUUUUCAAGUCCCACUAGUUCUCCUUCCAUAUGCAAACGAAUCCAAGGUGAAUGGUUUUUCCUGGUGUCCUAUUACUGCACAAAAUUACGGUUGGCUUUUCUUUUCUUUUUUUUUUUCCCCCCAAGGGACCAAAAUGUUUUUGAAUACACUCAGCCUCCUCAUACAUCCUUUUUUUUAAAAAAAUAAUAAAUUUAUUUUUUAUUGGUGUUCA
Molecule: long non-coding RNA, 1219 nt
Filed under: Vulpes vulpes (red fox)
Lineage: Eukaryota; Metazoa; Chordata; Mammalia; Carnivora; Canidae
Description: lncRNA (ENSVVUG00000024496.1)
Source: RNAcentral